Myotis lucifugus (little brown bat) is the source of this 73-nucleotide non-coding RNA. Lineage: Eukaryota; Metazoa; Chordata; Mammalia; Chiroptera; Vespertilionidae. The record is from Rfam.
GCCGGUUUGGCUCAGUGGACAGAGCGUCAGCCUGCGGGCUGAAGGGUCCCGGGUUCGAUUCCGGUCAAGGGCA